AUUGAACGCUGGCGGCAUGCCUUACACAUGCAAGUCGAACGGCAGCGCGGGGGCAACCCUGGCGGCGAGUGGCGAACGGGUGAGUAAUACAUCGGAACGUGUCCUGGAGUGGGGGAUAGCCCGGCGAAAGCCGGAUUAAUACCGCAUACGAUCUUGGGAUGAAAGCGGGGGACCGAAAGGCCUCGCGCUCAAGGGGCGGCCGAUGGCAGAUUAGCUAGUUGGUGGGGUAAAGGCCUACCAAGGCGACGAUCUGUAGCUGGUCUGAGAGGA
Molecule: ribosomal RNA, 270 nt
Filed under: uncultured bacterium
Lineage: Bacteria
Description: partial 16S ribosomal RNA
Rfam family: Bacterial small subunit ribosomal RNA
Source: RNAcentral